Molecule: ribosomal RNA, 492 nt
Filed under: uncultured bacterium
Lineage: Bacteria
Description: partial 16S ribosomal RNA
Rfam family: Bacterial small subunit ribosomal RNA
Source: RNAcentral
AGUGAACGCUGGCGGUAGGCCUAACACAUGCAAGUCGAACGGCAGCACAGUAAGAGCUUGCUCUUACGGGUGGCGAGUGGCGGACGGGUGAGGAAUACAUCGGAAUCUACUUUUUCGUGGGGGAUAACGUAGGGAAACUUACGCUAAUACCGCAUACGACCUACGGGUGAAAGCAGGUGAUCUUCGGACCUUGCGCGAUUGAAUGAGCCGAUGUCGGAUUAGCUAGUUGGCGGGGUAAAGGCCCACCAAGGCGACGAUCCGUAGCUGGUCUGAGAGGAUGAUCAGCCACACUGGAACUGAGACACGGUCCAGACUCCUACGGGAGGCAGCAGUGGGGAAUAUUGGACAAUGGGCGAAAGCCUGAUCCAGCCAUACCGCGUGGGUGAAGAAGGCCUUCGGGUUGUAAAGCCCUUUUGUUGGGAAAGAAAAGCAGCAGGUUAAUACCCCGCUGUUCUGACGGUACCCAAAGAAUAAGCACCGGCUAACUUCGUG